CUCAUAUACUCUGUCCCAUUAUCAGUUGUUAGAAUUUUGAUCUGUGCAUUAAACUGGAUGCAAAUCAUUUUAUGAAAUUGCUGAAAACAAGAAAAAACUUCAUGUUUAGAUCUCAUCAAAUAAACCCAAGUCAACCUAACGCAACAGUCAAUAAAAAUGCAAACCAUCUAUAACCAGAUAAAGAGGUUGUUUGAGCAGAACCCAAUGCAUCAGAAUAGAUAGUCAUAAAAG
Molecule: unclassified non-coding RNA, 231 nt
Filed under: Hevea brasiliensis (rubber tree)
Lineage: Eukaryota; Viridiplantae; Streptophyta; Magnoliopsida; Malpighiales; Euphorbiaceae
Source: RNAcentral